RNAcentral lists this long non-coding RNA (393 nucleotides) under Homo sapiens (human). RNAcentral's name for it is "HSALNT0131929". Lineage: Eukaryota; Metazoa; Chordata; Mammalia; Primates; Hominidae. The record is from RNAcentral.
UGCAAAGCACGCCAGGAUCCCAGCCAGCCCAGGACGGGGAGGGCCUGGGAGAGAUUCUCACUGCCUGGGGAUACAAAGCCUGCAUCCCAGCCAGCCGAGGAGGGGGAGGACCUUGGGAGAGCUUCCACUGCUGCAGGGAAGCCGGGCUAGUGACUGGGGCCGCAUCCACAGGUGUCUGGGGGCUGCGCCACACAGAGCAUGGAGGUGAUGCUUUCCUGUAACACUGCACGAAGAGGAAGAGACCAAGUACUGUCUUCUAUGGGAGGGCAUGGCAGGAAGGCACCAUCUGAGCCCGGAAGUGGGUCCUCACCAGACACUGCCGUCACCUCCGCGCUGGACCUGCAGCCUCCAGAACUGUGAGAAAUGAAUUCUGCUGUUCAUUUAUGGGCCCCC